Molecule: ribosomal RNA, 235 nt
Filed under: uncultured bacterium
Lineage: Bacteria
Description: partial 16S ribosomal RNA
Rfam family: Bacterial small subunit ribosomal RNA
Source: RNAcentral
UGAGUAACCUGCCCUUAACUCUGGGAUAAGCCUGGGAAACUGGGUCUAAUACCGGAUAUGACUCCUCAUCGCAUGGUGGGGGGUGGAAAGCUUUAUUGUGGUUUUGGAUGGACUCGCGGCCUAUCAGCUAGUUGGUGUGGGUAAUGGCCCACCAAGGCGACGACGGGUAGCCGGCCUGAGAGGGUGACCGGCCACACUGGGACUGAGAUACGGCCCAGACUCCUACGGGAGGCAG